This 789-nucleotide ribosomal RNA is filed under the name uncultured bacterium. Its description in RNAcentral is "bacterial SSU rRNA". It matches the Rfam family "Bacterial small subunit ribosomal RNA", at positions 8 to 796 of the family's 1533-position model. The record is from RNAcentral.
AGAGUUUGAUCAUGGCUCAGAUUGAACGCUGGCGGCAGGCCUAACACAUGCAAGUCGAGCGGUAGAGAGAAGCUUGCUUCUCUUGAGAGCGGCGGACGGGUGAGUAAUGCCUAGGAAUCUGCCUGGUAGUGGGGGAUAACGCUCGGAAACGGACGCUAAUACCGCAUACGUCCUACGGGAGAAAGCAGGGGACCUUCGGGCCUUGCGCUAUCAGAUGAGCCUAGGUCGGAUUAGCUAGUUGGUGAGGUAAUGGCUCACCAAGGCGACGAUCCGUAACUGGUCUGAGAGGAUGAUCAGUCACACUGGAACUGAGACACGGUCCAGACUCCUACGGGAGGCAGCAGUGGGGAAUAUUGGACAAUGGGCGAAAGCCUGAUCCAGCCAUGCCGCGUGUGUGAAGAAGGUCUUCGGAUUGUAAAGCACUUUAAGUUGGGAGGAAGGGCAGUUACCUAAUACGUAUCUGUUUUGACGUUACCGACAGAAUAAGCCCGGCUAACUCUGUGCCAGCAGCCGCGGUAAUACAGAGGGUGCAAGCGUUAAUCGGAAUUACUGGGCGUAAAGCGCGCGUAGGUGGUUUGUUAAGUUGGAUGUGAAAUCCCCGGGCUCAACCUGGGAACUGCAUUCAAAACUGACAAGCUAGAGUAUGGUAGAGGGUGGUGGAAUUUCCUGUAGCGGUGAAAUGCGUAGAUAUAGGAAGGAACACCAGUGGCGAAGGCGACCACCUGGACUGAUACUGACACUGAGGUGCGAAAGCGUGGGGACAAACAGGAUUAGAUACCCUCGUAGUCC